CUGGGCUUUGUAGUGCCGCCACGGCGCAUGCGCAUAGAUCCCUGGGGAAGAUUCCGGAAAGAAGGGGACAGUGAGUGCGCAGCAACUGGAGCCGGAGAGUUACGAUCAGAAUUAAAUGCUGAGACAUCAUGUUGGCAGCAAAGUUCACCUGUCUGAGGAAUUUACCAGCUCUGAGCCUGAGGCCUGUUCUCACCCAAGGGGGUCCAGCAUGGAGGAGCUGCAACCUUAAAGGCACUCAGUGGCUUCUGCAGCCCAAACAAAAUUAUGCCACCAAGUCACGUGUUAACGUACGACAGACAAAAACAAUGCGUGAAAAGAUGAAGGAAGCAGUGUUGAGCCCUUCAUUGGAAACUGCAGCAAGAUGUAAGACUAUGUUUCAAGAGCUUAGCCUU
Long non-coding RNA from Rhincodon typus (whale shark), 392 nucleotides. RefSeq lists it as uncharacterized. Lineage: Eukaryota; Metazoa; Chordata; Chondrichthyes; Orectolobiformes; Rhincodontidae. The record is from RefSeq and is a predicted model, not a curated record. The transcript is spliced from 3 exons.